UGAUCCUAGAAAGCCACAAGAGCCCAUGCCUACCCCCUGACUCGUCUGGAACCCUGGGAAGAUGAAGACGCUGAAGAAUAUCAUCAACGGGAAAGAGUGCCAGGGAUCAUGCUGCCAGUCUGAGAGGCUGGAAGACCACGGCUGUGGUAGCAUUAGCCAUCGCUUGUGCAAUACAGCAUCGGAGUAUCCACAAAUUAUCACCGCCAGUUUUCAUUACACAGUCAAGGGAAGCAGAUGCUAGGGAAGUUCACUCAGUAGGCAACAGCAGGAUUAGAACUUACCCUGGGUUCUAUACUCCAAAGGCCAUAGAGGAGAUUAUGACCCAUGAGGACCUCAGUACAGCACCCCAACCUAAAGGAUGAGGAAUCUCCUGAUUCUGGAGCAGACCUACCUCCCCUUCCUUAAUCAUCAGAAGCUCCUCUACAGUAUCCCUGUACUAUCACUCGUUCCUUCCCAUCCUCUGCUUCUUAGAGUAUGUCCGCUCCUUCUUUCAUGGUGUUCCUUAAGCCUUAUAGGGGGUUGAUGUAGCUGUCCCACAUCGGGCUGAGCACUCAGGAAUCACUUUUUCUCAGCCCUUUGGUUUUUUGAGUCUCUGAAUUAACUUCAGCCCACUGCAGAAGCUGAGAGCACCACAGAUCUAUGGUUAUGAAUGCCCAGCAACCAUUAGGCAAAACGUAAAGACCCAAGGCAGAAGGCUGGAAGGGAAGCAGAUGCUUGCACGAUGGGCUGAGCCAUUCUGAACUGCUGUUCCCACCUGUAUGACUCCUGCAUACUGACUGUUAAACAUCCCCAGCCUCAAAAGUUCAGAAGUACGGGUGCAUGUUUCAUAACCUGGAAGGACAUCCAUGGCAAAUCACCAAGGGAUAGAAAGGUUUCUAAGUAAUAUGAAAGACAAGAAUCUGGGGGCAGCAAAGCUGGGUUCUCUGAUGCAGGGUUCUCUCUGGAGACAACUGUGCAAACAUUGACAGGAAUUACAAGUCACCUGAGACCCGAUGGGAAGACAACCCACUCCAUGGUGGCUGACUCAGCGGUUCCCGGGAACUUUGCUCCUCGACAUGUGGACCUGACCAUUGGUUACUUCCUCACAACACAGAAGCUGGCUUCUUCCAGAGCAGGCAAUGUGUGGGGCACUGAACACCACUUCUUGGAAAGCAGAGUCUGAAAGCACUUGUGAGCUGUCACAGGAGCCAUGACAGAGACCUGAGGUCCCCAACACCUUUGGUCUUCCUAAAGGGACCACGGCCUAUCUGGAAGAAGUGCCACGUGGCUGGACAGCUCAGUGAGUAUUCUCAGGAGGCUGUGGCUCCUUUCUCUCCUGCCCUGCCUUACUUUGUUGUUGUUGUUGUUUUGUUUUAUUUUGUUUUGUUUGUUUGUUUUUUCUUUAUCCUUGAUCCCCUGAUAUUGUACCACAGAAACAUUUUAACAAAUCCGCAUCUCAAAAUCAGCACCGAGAAACUUGAGUUAUGAGAAAAAUGGAUUGUUUGUAUGUUAUAUUUGAGAAAAAACCUCUUGCAUCCCAGGCUAGUCUACAACUCAGUAUGUAGCCCAGGCUAGCCUCAGACAUGAAGCAAUCCUCUCGUCUCAGCCUCAUGAGUGCUGAAAUCCUAGGGAGGAGUCACCACACCUAGCUUAAGACAUGAACUUAAAACCUUGAAGUCACUAACAUGGGCAUGCACAACUUCUCGACGGUUCUGUCUGUGUGCACUGUUUAGACUUCCAAAUUCUAUCCUGGGCCCUUCACCAUCACUCGGACUCUUCCUUAAUGGUGACUGAUAAUGGGGAGCUUCCUUAACCUGGCGAUGUCUGCAGGGAAGAAUUAAGCUCUGAGCCCUGUUGAUUAUUCUAUGCCCUAUACUCUGGACUUCUAUAUUCUAUUCUGGAUUAUUCAUCCAGCCUGGUCCCUAGACUUUCCCACAGGUAACACUGACUUUUCAAGAUAGCACAGCAGCAUCCACAGCUAAAGGCUGCAAUUCCAGCCCUGUUGCUCCAGUCACAAAGUCUCCUGACCUGUGAGCUCUACAUUGUCACCCCAGGCCUCUGUGGAUGUGCUGAUACCUCGGCAAGGCACAGAAGACUUCCAAGUGCAACUGCACAAACUUGCUAGGCCAUGGACAACAAGAACUCAUCCGACUCCCCAUCGAGCCACGUUAAGGAGAAUAUGUGUCUCGAAGCAUCAGUUCCCACGUUCUUCGGUUCCUUCAUAGCUACCUGGAUGUUUCUGCAGAGUCCUGUGGUUCAAACUUAUGACACUCUGUAAGUGGUAGAAAGCAAGAGUAAGGGUCUUUGACUCUUUUGUCCCUUUUCUGCUUCUCUUCCAGUCUGUGUGGUGCUGGGGAGAAUCUGGGGAUUUGGGCAUGCCUGGAAGGGGCUCUCCCAGUGACAUCUCCAGCACCUGUAUCUUGGUCUAUACAGAAACUGCCUUCUCCCACUACGAGAUCAAUGAACUUAGAAAUCUCUAUCUACACAACACCCUACUUUCAAGACCAUUGCCCAACAAGGAGUUAUCUUGGAGAUUUAAAAUAAACAAUAGUUUCCCUUUUGAGGUGCUUCCUGACCUCUCUGAAACACUAACACCCCUUUGCUUACUGAGAGGAGAGCACAAAUGAACACAAUGUGGAUAUUCAUCCAAAACACACUCGUUCUGUCCCCUUGGAACACGUAAGGCGUUUUCUCAGAAAUGGCCUCGUCGCCAUCAACCCUCUCUGGGGAGCACCAGCAUCUUGCCUGUUAACUGCACCUCCCUCUCUUCCUUCAGAACUCAAUCCCAAAUGCUCAGUUUUCCCUUUUUGGACAGCUCAGUUUGGACCCACUCUUCUGGCUUUGAACUUAGCAAUUUUUCCAGACUGUGACCUCCAGUCUUUAAACACAGAAUAAGAAAGGUUUCUUUCGGGGGUUGGGGAUUUAGCUCAGUGGUAGAGUGCUUGCCUAGCAAGCGCAAGGCCCUGGGUUCGGUCCCCAGCUCCUAAAAAAAAAGAAAAGAAAAAAAAAAAAGAAAGGUUUCUUUCCAGAAACAUUUCCUAAGGAAAGAGAAGUGAAAAGGAGGUACAUUUUAAGUCAUGCUAAGAAAUUACAUGAGAAGUCACUUUGCAAAUUGUCAUGCACUACAUACAUACCUAUCAAAUACUAUCCCCCAAAAGAAGCUGAGAAUGGCUUUUUUCUUUCUAUUGUCCCUCUAUAUACUUGCCUUUGUGAUAACAUUUGUCCCAGGGCCCAGGAAGGAGAACCUUAGGGUCAGAAGAUGUCUUCUUUAAGUCUUUAGAGGAAAAGGGUAGCCCCAGAGAAGGUACCUGUGGAAAGGUAUUGCAGACAUCUCUCAUAGCCAGCCACUGGCUUCAGGCCUCUGCUGGCAGACUGGGAUUAGAAAAUGCAGCUUACAGACCCUAUCUAGAGAGUCCAGGUCACAGAGUGAGAUGCGCUCAUGAGAACCUCAGAGCCGCCACUGGUCGUUUCUGUGGCCCUGGGCAGAGAUCCACCCAGGCUGCUGUCCAAAUUCUCUCUGCUGAAUAGAAGAGGAACUGAUUUAUAUCUCCAGCAGGUAUGCCAGAGAAAAUUCAAAUUGAUCAAAAAUUAAAUAUUCAUAGGACAUUAUUCAUUAAGAUUCAUCUCACCGAGUGGAUGAAAUGAGGCAAGGGAAGAAAUUAGCUUGCUUGAGAGUGUCAAAGUGAUUAUGUGAU
Non-coding RNA from Rattus norvegicus (Norway rat), 3674 nucleotides. The record is from RefSeq and is a predicted model, not a curated record. Lineage: Eukaryota; Metazoa; Chordata; Mammalia; Rodentia; Muridae.